This 428-nucleotide ribosomal RNA is filed under the name uncultured bacterium. Its description in RNAcentral is "partial 16S ribosomal RNA". It matches the Rfam family "Bacterial small subunit ribosomal RNA", at positions 354 to 796 of the family's 1533-position model. The record is from RNAcentral.
GUGGGGAAUAUUGGGCAAUGGGCGAAAGCCUGACCCAGCAACGCCGCGUGAAGGAAGAAGGUUUUCGGAUUGUAAACUUCUGUCCUCAGGGAAGAAGAAAGUGACGGUACCUGAGGAGGAAGCCCCGGCUAACUACGUGCCAGCAGCCGCGGUAAUACGUAGGGGGCGAGCGUUGUCCGGAAUGACUGGGCGUAAAGGGCGCGUAGACGGCUGUCUAAGUCUGGAGUGAAAGUCCUGCUUUCAAGGUGGGAAUUGCUUUGGAGACUGGAUGGCUUGAGUGCGGAAGAGGUAAGUGGAAUUCCCAGUGUAGCGGUGAAAUGCGUAGAGAUUGGGAGGAACACCAGUGGCGAAGGCGACUUACUGGGCCGUAACUGACGUUGAUGCGCGAAAGCGUGGGGAGCGAACAGGAUUAGAAACCCCUGUAGUCC